Molecule: ribosomal RNA, 253 nt
Filed under: uncultured bacterium
Lineage: Bacteria
Description: partial 16S ribosomal RNA
Rfam family: Bacterial small subunit ribosomal RNA
Source: RNAcentral
UACGUAGGGUGCAAGCGUUAAUCGGAAUUACUGGGCGUAAAGCGUGCGUAGGCGGCCUGUUAAGUCGAACGUGAAAUCCCCGGGCUCAACCCGGGAACUGCGUCCGAUACUGGCAGGCUUGAAUCCGGGAGAGGGAUGCGGAAUUCCAGGUGUAGCGGUGAAAUGCGUAGAUAUCUGGAGGAACACCGGUGGCGAAGGCGGCAUCCUGGACCGGCAUUGACGCUGAGGCGCGAAAGCCAGGGGAGCAAACGGG